CUCUGUGGUAUCUGUCCUGUACUUGUACUUCAUGUGUGAGGCAGUUUGCUUCCUCUUGAGCUGAGGUCCUUUGCCUUACCAUUUCAAGCUGGCUUUCUGAUCCUUUUCUAGAAGCAGGUGCUUUUACCGAUUGUCGUUGCAGGGUACAGGGCAGGAACAUCCAGUGGAAGCCAACAGAGUAAUUGGCAAGUGUGUGUGAACUUCCAUUCGUCUAUGGCUACACAGGAUUCCAGUCUCAUGAUUGCCUGCUCUUAGCCUUGGAGUGUAUUCAAAUUUUCACUGAUUUCAUGGCUGCCACUCUUUCUUCUAUGCUUUGCUAGAGAUCUUUCUACUUGAUUUUCAUGGAAAUACGUUGCAGUGAUUCAGUGAAUCAUUUGCCUGGUGCUUCUUUUGUCUGUUGGAAUCUUAGCCAUGAAGUUUAAUUUAAAAUUGACCUUUCUGAAUUAUCUUCAGUGACUCAGAAGUCAUUCCAAGCAAAAGAAUGUUCAGAAAAUAUCUCCUCCAACAAGAAAGCAAACAAAACAGGAACAAGAACAGAAAGCUGAAGAAGAAAGAAUUUAUAUGGAAAACAUUCUGAGUGGAAACCCUCUCCUUAACCUUACAGGCCCAUCCCAGCCUCAGGCCAAUUUCAAAGUUAAAAGAAGGUUUUCUAAGACUAUGAUGAACGAUGGAAGGGAUCCCAUUUUGAAUCACAUGUUGGUAUGGAAGUGUCAUCAACCACCAAGCUGCUUCAGUGGGUGCCCAAGGAUGGGAUGGGGUACCUGCACCCCCAAAGUGCAGGCGUUUUUCUCUUUUCUGUUGGUGCAAGACAGGCGCUCCUUAA
Manis pentadactyla (Chinese pangolin) is the source of this 823-nucleotide long non-coding RNA. RefSeq lists it as uncharacterized. Lineage: Eukaryota; Metazoa; Chordata; Mammalia; Pholidota; Manidae. The record is from RefSeq and is a predicted model, not a curated record. The transcript is spliced from 6 exons.